UGUGUAGGCGGCCACGCAAGUCGGAUGUGAAAGCCCUGGGCUCAACCCAGGAAGUGCACCCGAAAACUGCAUGGCUUGAGUCUCGGGAGAGGUUGGUGGAAUUCUCGGUGUAGAGGUGAAAUUCGUAGAUAUCGAGAGGAACACCGGUGGACGAAGGCGGCCAACUGGACGAAGACUGACGCUGAGACACGAAAGCGUGGGGGAGCAAACAGGAUUAGAUACCCUGGUAGUCCACGCCGUAAACGAUGGGUGCUAGGUGUCACGGGCAUUGACUCCCGUGGUGCCGUAGCAAACGCAUUAAGCACCCCGCCUGGGAAGUACGGCCGCAAGGCUAAA
RNAcentral lists this ribosomal RNA (336 nucleotides) under uncultured bacterium. Its description in RNAcentral is "bacterial SSU rRNA". It matches the Rfam family "Bacterial small subunit ribosomal RNA", at positions 568 to 898 of the family's 1533-position model. The record is from RNAcentral.